GCCGGGGUGGUGAAACUGGUAGACGCGCCGGAUUCAAAAUCCGGUUCCUUCGGGAGUGUCGGUUCGAUUCCGACCCUCGGCACCA
Molecule: transfer RNA, 85 nt
Filed under: Gammaproteobacteria bacterium HGW-Gammaproteobacteria-3
Lineage: Bacteria; Pseudomonadati; Pseudomonadota; Gammaproteobacteria
Description: tRNA-Leu
Rfam family: tRNA
About the family: Transfer RNA (tRNA) molecules are approximately 80 nucleotides in length. Their secondary structure includes four short double-helical elements and three loops (D, anti-codon, and T loops).
Source: RNAcentral